ACGUCCGCGUUAUAUUACAUCCCCUUCAAACAGUUUCGUUGCAGACGGCUCGCGUCAGCCUCCCCCGCGCCGCCCUGGGGUGAGCCUGCUUGCCGUAGCCGUUUACUUCUGAGGAGCUUCUUCAUCGUGAGGUAUGCUUAUUUGGUUUCCAUGGGAUGAAGAAGAUGAAGAAUUCUACAGGAUACGGAGAAAAGAAAUGCAAAGAAAAGAACGAAUGAGCACAAGCCAGAUGGGCUUUUUUAAAAGUCAGCUGCAGAGAGCUGUAGGCUGUAGGUGGCCUCCAUGUAACUGGUAUUCGGGGAAGAGGAUGGCUUUUCCAGGGCUACAGAGGUAGUGUGUUUGUUCAGCUAGCCUCAUUCUCAGCUGUAUCAAAGAGCUCUCUAGCACCAAGUAACAAACAUCCCACACCGAUCAGGAGAUGUAUGUGCUUCCUCAUCUGAAUGCAAACAUCUGUUUGAAAACUGGAGAAAUUCCAAGUUUUCUGCCAAUAUGCUCUAAAAGAAAAUUUCUUCCUCAGCGCAAAGUAGUGAUCAGUUGAGUUGUAUUAACAUGAGGAAGAAGCCAGCUGCAAUAUGCGGUUCCUCUUUUUGCUUUGGA
This is a long non-coding RNA of Cygnus atratus (black swan), 597 nucleotides long. RefSeq lists it as uncharacterized. Lineage: Eukaryota; Metazoa; Chordata; Aves; Anseriformes; Anatidae. The transcript is spliced from 3 exons. The record is from RefSeq and is a predicted model, not a curated record.